RNAcentral lists this small nuclear RNA (250 nucleotides) under Fukomys damarensis (Damara mole-rat). Its description in RNAcentral is "7SK RNA". It matches the Rfam family "7SK RNA". Rfam says of the family: 7SK was discovered as an abundant small nuclear RNA in the mid-70s but a possible function has only recently been suggested. The record is from Rfam by way of RNAcentral. Lineage: Eukaryota; Metazoa; Chordata; Mammalia; Rodentia; Bathyergidae.
GGAUACAAGGGUGAUCUGGCUGUAACAUCUGUCACCCCGCUGAUCGCCAGGGUUGAUGUGACUGAUCCGGCUGGUAGCUAGGCCAGUGUCCCCUUCCUCCUUGCUUGGACAGUGAGGACAGCCUUCCCAGCAAAGGAGGGGCAUCCUCAGUCAAAGGCCUAUGAGUAGCUGGGCUCCCCUCCUGGAACCGAAAACAAAUUCUCAAAAUAAAUAUAUAAAAACAGGGCUGGGCAUGGAGUAUGAAGGCCCU